CGCAAUUUAUGCUCCUCCAUAAAUCCCUGGCCAACCGUGCUUUGAUCAUUGUAAGGACCGAUGGCAAGCAGCACAAGUUUGUAUGCCUUCUCGUUUACGUUACGUAACUGCUGAUGCACUUUAUACAUACAACACUCAUUUUCAGCAUUGGAUGUAGU
This is a long non-coding RNA of Juglans microcarpa x Juglans regia, 158 nucleotides long. RefSeq lists it as uncharacterized. The record is from RefSeq and is a predicted model, not a curated record. Lineage: Eukaryota; Viridiplantae; Streptophyta; Magnoliopsida; Fagales; Juglandaceae. The transcript is spliced from 3 exons.